Molecule: ribosomal RNA, 508 nt
Filed under: uncultured bacterium
Lineage: Bacteria
Description: partial 16S ribosomal RNA
Rfam family: Bacterial small subunit ribosomal RNA
Source: RNAcentral
GAUGAACGCUAGCUACAGGCUUAACACAUGCAAGUCGAGGGGAAACGAUAUUGGAAGCUUGCUUCCGAUAGGCGUCGACCGGCGCACGGGUGAGUAACGCGUAUCCAACCUGCCCAUCACUUGGGGAUAACCUUGCGAAAGUACGACUAAUACCCAAUGACGUCUCUAGAAGACAUCCGAAAGAGAAUAAAGAUUUAUCGGUGAUGGAUGGGGAUGCGUCUGAUUAGCUUGUUGGCGGGGUAACGGCCCACCAAGGCGACGAUCAGGAGGGGUUCUGAGAGGAAGGUCCCCCACAUUGGAACUGAGACACGGUCCAAACUCCUACGGGAGGCAGCAGUGAGGAAUAUUGGUCAAUGGACGAGAGUCUGAACCAGCCAAGUAGCGUGCAGGAUGACGGCCCUAUGGGUUGUAAACUGCUUUUAUAAGGGAAUAAAGUGAGUCUCGUGAGGCUUUUUGCAUGUACCUUAUGAAUAAGGACCGGCUAGUUCCGUGCCAGCAGCCGCCGUAA